AUAUUCCUGUACUUGGUGUUACUGCGAAGGGGGGACGGAGAAGGCUAUGUCGGCCGGGCGACGGUUGUCCCGGUUUAAGCAUGUAGGCGGAGGUUCCAGGUAAAUCCGGUACCUUAUUAAACGCUGAGGUGUGAUGACGAGGCACUACGGUGCUGAAGUGACAAAUGCCCUGCUUCCAGGAAAAGCCUCUAAGCAUCAGGUAACAUCAA
RNAcentral lists this ribosomal RNA (209 nucleotides) under Citrobacter sp. CK195. RNAcentral describes it as "partial 23S ribosomal RNA". It matches the Rfam family "Bacterial large subunit ribosomal RNA", at positions 1433 to 1640 of the family's 2925-position model. RNAcentral also lists the same sequence under 3 other names. Lineage: Bacteria; Pseudomonadati; Pseudomonadota; Gammaproteobacteria; Enterobacterales; Enterobacteriaceae. The record is from RNAcentral.